RNAcentral lists this small nuclear RNA (125 nucleotides) under Salarias fasciatus (jewelled blenny). RNAcentral's name for it is "U1 spliceosomal RNA (ENSSFAG00005007798.1)". It matches the Rfam family "U1 spliceosomal RNA". Rfam says of the family: U1 is a small nuclear RNA (snRNA) component of the spliceosome (involved in pre-mRNA splicing). Its 5' end forms complementary base pairs with the 5' splice junction, thus defining the 5' donor site of an intron. There are significant differences in sequence and secondary structure between metazoan and yeast U1 snRNAs, the latter being much longer (568 nucleotides as compared to 164 nucleotides in human). The record is from RNAcentral. Lineage: Eukaryota; Metazoa; Chordata; Actinopteri; Blenniiformes; Blenniidae.
UUACUUACCUGGCAGGUGCUUCACCCAGAGCCAGACUCAAUGACGAUCCCUGCAAUUUCCCCAAAUGCAGAAAUAUCGACUGCAUAAUUUCUGCUGUUGGGGCACUGUGUUCGCAAACUCCCCUG